This 440-nucleotide ribosomal RNA is filed under the name uncultured bacterium. Its description in RNAcentral is "partial 16S ribosomal RNA". It matches the Rfam family "Bacterial small subunit ribosomal RNA", at positions 338 to 795 of the family's 1533-position model. The record is from RNAcentral.
CCUACGGGUGGCAGCAGUGGGGAAUAUUGCACAAUGGGGGAAACCCUGAUGCAGCGACGCCGCGUGAGUGAAGAAGUAAUUCGUUAUGUAAAGCUCUAUCAGCAGGGAAGAAAAUGACGGUACCUGAGCAAGAAGCCCCGGCUAACUACGUGCCAGCAGCCGCGGUCAUACGUAGGGGGCAAGCGUUAUCCGGAUUUACGGGGUGUAAAGGGAGCGUAGACGGCAGUGCAUGCCUGGAGUGAAAGGCGGGGGCUCAACCCCCGGACUGCUCAGGAAACUGUACGGCUGGAGUGAAGGAGAGGGAAGUGGAAUUCCUGGUGUAGCAGUGAAAUGCGUAGAUAUUAGGAGGAACACCAGUGGCGAAGGCGGGUUACUGGACAGUAACUGACGUUGAGGCUCGAAGGCGAGGGGAGCGAACGGGAUUAGAUACCCGUGUAGUC